UUGAUACAUUGCAUCGCAAGUUUAAGAGCCCAGCUGAAAUUAAAUCUCCCAGUAAAUCAGGAGGUUCUCGAAGACAUAGCAGUGACACCGCUUCUGAGAAGGGUUCUCUGUCCCAAGCACAAUCAAGAGCAUCAUCACCUUCCAAACAUGUAGCAAGAUGUCAAAGCUUUCUCUUAAUAUUUCGAUGUAGACAUAGCAGUGACACCGCUUCUGAGAAGGGUUCUCUGUCCCAAGCACAAUCAAGAGCAUCAUCACCUUCCAAACAUGUAGCAAGAUGUCAAAGCUUUGCUGAAAGGCCUCUGGCCCAACCACUACCACUUCCUGGUCUGCGUCCAGCAAAUGUAGGUCGGUCAGACUCUGGAAUCAGUGCAUCUGCAAAGUCCAGAGUGGAGA
RNAcentral lists this long non-coding RNA (393 nucleotides) under Nicotiana benthamiana. Its description in RNAcentral is "long non-coding RNA (NBEN_LNC015318)". Lineage: Eukaryota; Viridiplantae; Streptophyta; Magnoliopsida; Solanales; Solanaceae. The record is from RNAcentral.